UAAAUUAUCGAUUAAAUUAAUAAACUAACCGCAAUCCCUUCUAUUCCAACAACUUUAUUUUAUCCACGGUUAUUUCCCUAAAGUUCGACCACCGGCUUUUUGGGUACCACAGAUUCGGCCUUUUUUAACUUCCUAUUUUCCAGGGCGAUAAUACUAAUCCGUUCCAAUAAGUCCUAUAUUUCCGUGGCGCGAUUACUAAUUAACCUCCCGUAUUACCUUAUCCCUAUUUCUUUCAAUUGUUAAAUAAUGGUUACCAUUUUGUGAAAAUCCUCCUUAAUUAUAUAAUAUUAAUUUGCCGAUUUAUUAUCAAUAUGAUUAUUUCCAACAAACCUAUUAUAUUUAAUAUAACUUAAUAUAUAGUAAUAUCUUGGUAAAAGAACAGCUAAAUUUCACCAAUUAAUUUAUUUUGUAAAGCAAAACUAUAUAUUUUGCCUUCUUAGAAUAUACGGGAAAAAUCAAAUAACCCCAAAUCGUAAAAAACCAAGUAUAUAUAUAUAUAUAUAUUCGACCAAGUUAUUUAUUUUAAAUUGUUAUUCUAUUUUAAAUACAAAAACCAAAUCCGCCCGCGAAGAUAAUUAUAAUUACUAUAAUAUAUAUUUAUAUGAAUUUAGGGUUUUAUCUGCUUUAUUUCCGGGAAUAUAAUUAUAUUAAACGCUAAAAGCUAUAUAAAAUAGGUUUAUAUUUCCGAAUAAUUAAACAUUUAAAAUAUUUGCUUAAUAAUAGUAAUAUUUCUUUAAUAUUAAUAAUAGUAAUUUAGUUUGCUUAUUUAACUGGCGUUUUUAUUUCGUUUUAUAUAAAUGAUAGAUUUGCUAUUUAUGGAAGAAACCGCCGUCUAAAUAAUGGGCGUUACUUUUUAAAAAACAUAGCGGAUAAUCGCGAAUUUGAAAAAAAAUGCAAACGUUAUAAACGGGAAUUCCAAUAAUAUUAAUUAUCGCGGAUAUAUUAUAAAUAGCGGCGCCGUCGAAACGUAAACCGUUUCGAAACCCGUUAUUAUACGACGACGUUCCGGUUUUGCCUAUAAUUUUAUAAUACGUUAUAAAAUAUAAAUUCCGUCGCGACGUGGAUUUUAUAAAUAAUUCCCGCGAAAAAUUUAAAUAUUUAUAAACGGGAUUUAACGCGCCCGUUUCAAAAAUAGUCCGUUUUUAUUACGAAAUAGGCGGUAAAAACGGCGCUUACCGCUAUACCGAUUUUUUAAAUUAGUUAGAACGUAUAUAUAAUAAUUUUUAUAAACGGUUACAAAUUUUAACCAAAUUUUAAACGUUGAAAAUUAGAUUAUAUUAAUUAUUCGUCUAAUUAAUUGCGGUUUUAAAAAGAAAACCCUGGUUACAGUGGGAAAUUUGACUUGGACGGACGAUAUUCGUAUUAACCUUUUAUAUUUCCGCAUAUUUUUUAUAGUCCAGAAAAUAUAUAUUAAAUAAGAUACCGGAAAUAAUAUUUAUAUAAAAAUAAUAGUUAUUUACCCCCAAAUUAUUUCAAGUUUUGAAAUAUUCAAAUUAAAUAAACGUUUUGGCUUUUACCGCGCGAGUACCGUCCCGGUUUCCAAAUUGGUAAAAAACGAAAUUAUAUUUAUAAUUGGCGUAAUCGCGAUAAAAUCCAAAUUUAAUAAAAAAACAAAAAAACGUCGUAAAUUUAAUUAAAUCCAAUUUUCGGAUUUUAAUAAGAAAAAUACGCGUCCACACGUUAUAUAAAUUUUCAACGAUAAAUAUUAGCCAAAACGCGAAGUAAAAAUAUAUUUGCGUUACGGUAGUUUAAUUUACCAAAUAACGGAUUAUAUAUAUAGCAACGCUAUAUUUACUUAUAAUAAUAUCCGCAAAUAUAACGGAAACCCCCGGGGAAACAAAAGAAAAUUUAAAUAUAAAGUUUAAUCGAAAAUAAAAACCGCAAAACCCAAUUAAAAUAAAACGGGUAAAAACCCAGGAAAUAAAUAUAAUAAUAUUGGCUUAAACUAACUUUUUAUAACCGUAACGCCGUUUUUGAUUUUUAUUUUAUUAAAUAAUUUGAAAUUUAUUAAUUUAUAAAUUAAUAUAAAUUGCAAAUAUUAUGCGGUAAUAAAUAAAAAAUAUACAGCCCGGAUAAAAAAUCGGAAACAUAUUUUUACCCCGUAUGCGCAAAUUGGAUACGGCGGUAAAAAGCGCCCACCCAAUAAUUAAAAAAUUGGCCAAAUGCAAAGUAAAUGUUAAUAAUUAAAAAACGCCGAUGUUUUAUUAAAUUAUAUCCGAAUUGGCCCGUAAUAUAAUAAUAAAUUUAUUUUAAAUAAUUUACCAGCGGAUAUCAUUCGACGCGGCGCGGAAAUUCUUAAUUAUAAAUAUAUGAAAAAUAUAUUAAUAAAUAAAUUAUUUAUACGCUUUAGUUUAAAUUAAACUUAUAAUAAGAAUUAAUAACGUUUUCAACCCUAUAUUAGCGGGUAAAAGGGCGCGACGGCGGACAAAUAAAAUUCGCGCUAAUAUUUUUCCGGCAAAUAACAAAUGUUUUACAAAUAGCGGUUACGUAUAAACAAACGCCGCUACAAAUAAUAUUUCCCCCGAAUUGGGGAAAUUUGCAGAAUUAUUUAAUAAAACAAAAACGUCCGAAGUAUUAUUAUACCGCAACUAUUUCGAAUAUUAUAUUUAUUUGCAAAAAAACAAAUCCGGGAAAAUUCCGGUCUUUUUGUAAAACCGUAUUUAUUAUAUAUCACCAAAAGGAAUGCUGAAAUUAUAAUAUUAAAUAAGAAAUAUAAUGGAUAAAAUAAAUUAAAAUUCAAUUUGUCGUCGGUAAUAAUUCCAAUUUUAAUAAUGCGUGAAACGUUAAAAAAUUAAAACUUAUAUGCGGACUAUAGAACUUAAAAUAAUAUUAUUAUAUAGGACGUAUAUUUUUUACCCUUAAUUAAGAAAAAAGUUUGUUUUUUUAAAAAGGGGGCAGUGGUUUAUUAAGACAGACGUUCGCGCAGCGUUUUAUAAACUACGGAUUACAAAAAAUGAUAAAUAUUUUACGGCGUUUGAAAUUCGUUUUGGAUUAUUUAAAUAAUUGAUAUAUUUAUUCGAAUUUGCCAUGGCGUUUGCAGUUUUCCAACAUUAUAUUAAUAAUAUAUCAAACGAUAUAUUAAAGAAUUAUAUAUUAGUUUAUUUGGACGAUAUUUUUAUUUAUUUUCCAAACUUAAAUCCAAUUAUUUAUUGAAAACAACCGGGGCAUUAAAUGAAUCAAGUACGGCGGGAUUUAAUUUAAAUUUCGAAAGAAACGCGUUUGCAAUAAAACAAAUUAAAUAUUUGGGAUUUAUUAUCAAAACGGGGAAAAUAUCGAAACCGAUCCCAAAAAAAGAAAUAAUCAGGAAUUGGUAAAUUCCGAAAAACUUACGAAAAUAUUAUAAUUUUUUCAGGCUCGCGAAUUUUUACCGUAAUGUUAUAAGCAAUUAUUUAAUAUUAACAGUUUUGUUAUUAAUAUUUAUAGAACAAAAUUUCGUUUUGGUGGAUAAAAAAAUUCGAGAAAACUUUCUAAACGUUAAAACGCAUAUUUCUUUAAACGUUAAUAUUUACCUAGUAUAAUAACACAAAAAAUACCAAAUUAAAAAUAAAUUAUUUAAGUGCGGCGUUGGGGGGUUAUUACCCCCAAAAGACGGACAGGUUAUAACAACAGGUCGCGUUCUAUUCGGUUAAACUAACUAACGUCCAGAAUAAUAAUAUUAUUUCUAAUAAAGAACUUUUUAAAAUAAUAAUAUAUUUUAAAAUAUAAAACGCGGAACUCCGCAACGUCCGCCAUUCUUUUUAUAAUUUUAACAAACUAUAAAACGUUAAAAUGCUUUUCGAAAUUUAAAAAGGUUUCGGCAAAAUAAAUACUUUAAGCGGAAAUAUUUUCGAAAUUUAAUUAUAAUCUGCGUUUCCGUCCAGGACAAUUAGCGGGGGUUAAUAACGCGUUAUUUAAAAAAGAUAAAACAAAUAUAAUAUUAAUAUUAUAAUUAAUAACCGUAUUGCGCCCAGCCGUAUUAUAAAUAAAUUUAACGCCGGCGAAUAUUAUACCCCCCGCGGCCGUCGCGAUUUCCCCCAAAUAUAUAUGGUCCGGUUUUGGAACAAAUUAUUAGCGAAAAACGCUUUAUAUUAAAUACGUUUAAACGCAAUAUAAAAAAUAAUUAUAAUUACAAGAUUGGGAGUUAUUAACCACGGUAAUAUUAUAGCAAAUGUAUAAAUUACUAAUAAUUAACCAUUCCGUUAAAAAUAAUAUACUGGUUAUAUUGGUAAAGAAGUAUUAUCAAAAUGGUAUAACGAAAUAUAUAAAACGUUUUGUACGCAAUUGUAAUAUAUAUUGGCAAUUAGAAUUCUUACGCCGGGUGCGUUUAAAAAGAAAUCUAAUUAUUAUUUAUACCGGAUAGACUUUAAACACAAAUUUCAAUUAAUUUUAAAAUUAAUCAAUCCGGAAUCGACAAAGAUUCUUCGAUAUUUGAUAAUUAUUACAAAUGAUUUUUGUUAAAUAUAUAUAAUUAGAAACGAUAUAUUUAAUAGAAGCGGAUAAUUACCCGUCGCGGUUGCUUUUUUUUAAUAAUAAUUCCGGGGGUUCCCCAGUUAAAAUAUCUUCGAUAAAACUUCUAAUUGGGUAGAAAGCUUUUGGACGGAAUUAUAUAAAUAAACGGGGGUAAAAUAAUUAUUUUCCAUUUCUUACCAUAUUAGAACCGACGGGGGGACGGAACAAGUUAAUUAAAAGAUUUAAUAAUAUUUAAAAAUUUAUAUAAGUUUUUAUUAAAAAAGAAUUGGUUUGACCAUUUGGGAACCGUAUAAUUAAUUUUUAAUAACCGAAAUUUGUUUAUAACGGAAAUAAAUUUGAAUAAAUUAUUAUUGGGAUUUAAUAUUAAACCAGUGCCAAAUAUUGCCAUUUUUUCCAAAACCCCAGCCUCGAACCCGAAAAUUAAAACCAUGCAAUUUUUAAAAUAUUUACAGGAAAAUUCCAAAUUGGUCCAAAUUGUUAUCGCGUAUAUUUAAUAACGUUAGAAGCCCGGGGCAAAUAAAUUCCGAUAUUUAACCGAACAUUUCCAAAUCGGGGACGAAUAUUUUUUAAUUUACAAAAUAUAUAUAUAAACCGUCCGUAUGAAAAUUUCGAUUAAAUUUACGGAGAAUAUUAAAUAAUGACGGUACGAAUCCCAUUUAUACUUAUAUUUAACAUUUCACGGGGAAUUUAUUUGAUUUUCUCUAUAAAAUU
This 5160-nucleotide small RNA is filed under the name Pyricularia oryzae. Its description in RNAcentral is "Magnaporthe oryzae sRNA M_BR32_EuGene_00030821". Lineage: Eukaryota; Fungi; Ascomycota; Sordariomycetes; Magnaporthales; Pyriculariaceae. The record is from RNAcentral.